Molecule: ribosomal RNA, 567 nt
Filed under: uncultured bacterium
Lineage: Bacteria
Description: bacterial SSU rRNA
Rfam family: Bacterial small subunit ribosomal RNA
Source: RNAcentral
GUGCCGCAGCUAACGCAUUAAGCACUCCGCCUGGGGAGUACGACCGCAAGGUUGAAACUCAAAGGAAUUGACGGGGGCCCGCACAAGCGGUGGAGCAUGUGGUUUAAUUCGAAGCUACGCGAAGAACCUUACCAGGUCUUGACAUCUUGCGCCAACCCUAGAGAUAGGGCGUUUCCUUCGGGAACGCAAUGACAGGUGGUGCGUGGUCGUCGUCAGCUCGUGUCGUGAGAUGUUGGGUUAAGUCCCGCAACGAGCGCAACCCUUGUUACUAGUUGCCAGCAUUCAGUUGGGCACUCUAGUGAGACUGCCGGUGACAAACCGGAGGAAGGUGGGGACGACGUCAGAUCAUCAUGCCCCUUAUGACCUGGGCUACACACGUGCUACAAUGGACGGUACAACGAGUCGCGAACUCGCGAGGGCAAGCUAAUCUCUUAAAACCGUUCUCAGUUCGGACUGCAGGCUGCAACUCGCCUGCACGAAGUCGGAAUCGCUAGUAAUCGCGGAUCAGCAUGCCGCGGUGAAUACGUUCCCGGGCCUUGUACACACCGCCCGUCACACCAUGAGAGU